UACGUAGGGUGCGAGCGUUGUCCGGAAUUAUUGGGCGUAAAGAGCUCGUAGGCGGUGUGUCGCGUCGGCCGUGAAAACCUGGGGCUUAACUCUGGGCGUGCGGUCGAUACGGGCAUCACUAGAGUUCGGCAGGGGAGACUGGAAUUCCUGGUGUAGCGGUGAAAUGCGCAGAUAUCAGGAGGAACACCAAUGGCGAAGGCAGCUCGCUGGGACGGUACUGACGCUGAGGCGCGAAAGCGUGGGGAGCAAACAGG
This 254-nucleotide ribosomal RNA is filed under the name uncultured bacterium. RNAcentral describes it as "partial 16S ribosomal RNA". It matches the Rfam family "Bacterial small subunit ribosomal RNA", at positions 524 to 776 of the family's 1533-position model. The record is from RNAcentral.